GACGUAGGGUGCGAGCGUUGUCCGGAUUUAUUGGGCGUAAAGAGCUCGUAGGCGGCUCGUCGCGUCGACCGUGAAAACCCGCGGCUUAACCGCGGGCUUGCGGUUGAUACGGGCGGGCUAGAGUUCGGUAGGGGAGAAUGGAAUUCCCGGUGUAGCGGUGAAAUGCGCAGAUAUCGGGAGGAACACCGGUGGCGAAGGCGGUUCUCUGGGCCUUACCUGACGCUGAGGAGCGAAAGCGUGGGGAGCGAACAGG
Molecule: ribosomal RNA, 253 nt
Filed under: uncultured bacterium
Lineage: Bacteria
Description: partial 16S ribosomal RNA
Rfam family: Bacterial small subunit ribosomal RNA
Source: RNAcentral